This 3727-nucleotide long non-coding RNA is filed under the name Triticum aestivum (bread wheat). RNAcentral's name for it is "long non-coding RNA (TAES_LNC018343)". Lineage: Eukaryota; Viridiplantae; Streptophyta; Magnoliopsida; Poales; Poaceae. The record is from RNAcentral.
GGCCACCUCUCUCCCCCUGAUUCCUCUGUCUCUCUCGCACCACAGCGUUGUCGCCGCCAACUCCGAUCCCAGGAAGCUCCAGCGGACUCCAACCCACUGCUCACGGUUCUGCCCCACUCCAUCUAUGUUCUCCUCUGUUCCUUCGCCUGAGGCCACCGCGCCCCUGCACGCGUGGCACGCAACAACCCUAGCCGCCACGCGUCGCCGGCGUGGCUCCGGCAGCUCCGGUUUAUCGACCCACUACCCCUGCGGCCCUGCCUCACCUCACGCGCGGCAGCACGCUCGAGCUUGACGUUGGUAUUCCGCCUCUUCUACCUCAACUCCGGUGUUGACGUUUCUGGUUCUGGUGUUUACACGCUCGAGCUUGACGUUGGUAUUCCGCCUCUUCUACCUCAACUCCGGUGUUGACGUUUCUGGUUCUGGUGUUUAUUUGAUUAGAUGUGAUUCACCAUGUGUUGAUCUGUACUAAUUCUGGAUGAGUACUCUGUUAUGCGUUAUGGUUAGAGUUUCCUCCUCCUAUUUAGAUGGAUCGAUGGAUAAUUAAGUAUUUUUUCAAGUGAAAUUAAUCAUUACAUACUAGCAUGUAGCAUGACCUGUUCAAAGAUCAGCGCAGUUUUUUCUUAUAAAAAGAGAUCAACUUAGUUCCAAUUGGAGUGAGAUAGUCGAUCAGCGAUAUAUCAUAUGUGACCAUGUAUGUCACUGAAGAACAUUACUACAAAAAUCAACAUGUCAGUGCAAUUAUGGGUCCAUGAUACUGGCAUGAUUAUUUCAAAUGGAGAAUCCCCAUCUCAAUAGGCUGAAUCGUUGUUUACUUGGUGUCACAUGUACAAUAUACUAAAUAAAUAAGUCCCACUCGCAUCGGUCUGUCCAAUUAUUUGUCUUUAUUCUAUAACCCUUUGCUCCAUCUACACUCACAGGUUCUGACAUUGUCUUUUACUAAGUGUGUGCUUCUGCUGUUUCUUAACAGAUCGAUGUACAACACUUAUGCAUUACAAUCAGGAGAAAUCCAUGCAGAAGAAGCCUGAAGAAUUAUUCAAGUUAUUUGUUUAUAGCAUGGUGAGGAUCCUUUCGCUAGUUCAUGUUACAGUAAGGAAAACAUGAAUUUGUAUCUUAUUCUUUUUUUUGGUUGAUGUAAUAUUUGUUUUCCCCUGGCAAAAAGUUAUAUUAGUUUCAGUUUCUUAUUCAGUUAAAAUGUGCACACUACAAUCUCGAAGUUUAUGCAAAAGCUCAGAUGGAAAUCAUUCUUACACUCAUGUUAUCCAAUAUAAAUUGUUAAAUAAUUGAAAAAAUUUGAAGGUGCGAUACAAGAACAUCAUACCUUGGUAUUCUCGUCACAUGUAUAUGACUCAUAUUGUUGAAAUCUCACCUCUAAAUCGAGUUUAGUGCUCUUUUUUGGAAAUAUAGGUACUUCUGAAUUCCUGCAAUCUCUGUACUAAUUUUGUAUUUCGUGGGGAGCCACAGAUAUUUCCAAAUACUAGAAUGAUGCAUGAUUGGUCAGCACACAAACUCUUGGCCAGGUUCCUCUCACAUCUUAUCUUGUUUGUAAUAUAUUCUUCUUAAACUGUUAACACGAUGAGCAUGUACUUGUUUCAUCCAAGAACGUAAACAUGAAAAGUAUUCCUCUUGUGCACUCUCCUUCCCUGACAUACAGGGCACACUACGGUGGUUGGAUGAUACAACCAUAAACAGACAGCUAAGCGAUCAGAUGCGGCGACUGUGCGAGUGUGUCAGGUAUGUCGAAUUCACUGAUCCCAAACUAUUGGAUCUGACUAGGAUCUCCUCUUCUCUGUAAUACUUAGGACCUUCUCCUCUACCUACUCGGGCCAACAGUUUCAGCAUCCAGCAACCAUGGUGACAAAGAUGAACGUACUGGAACUGCUCUAAGUUUCAACAUUCUCGGUAAACAAGUGAACUAAGAAAGCCAAUCCUACUUAGUAAAUGUUGGCAUAUACUAAUACGCUGGCACUACUUAGUUUGCAUGAAUGUUGUGGUCUUCUAAAUUGCUAGAAUAAUUUCAAGUAGUUUAGUAGGAGUCUCUGCUUGUUUAACUAGCCAAGUUUGAGUCUAAUUUGAUUAGGGUGAUUAGUUAGUUUUCCAACAUGUCUGGUUUGCAUGCCAUAAGCAUUUGUCUUCUUGGGUGGGUCGUAGUCCAUAUAUGAUUCAAUGAGUUUGCAUAGCUAGCUGCCUACAUGCUGUACUAUCAUAUCUUGUAGUUAGCAUGCUUUACUAGUCUAGGAAAGGGCGCUGGAGUCUGAGUCGUUUUAGAUGCUAUAAGUACGAGCAGCUUUAGAUUGUUUCGGCCAUGUAGCUGGUCAUAUCGUGUAACCAGGUCGUGCAAGUUUUUUUUCCAUAUUAGAACAAGGUCAUGUAAGAGUUUUGAUAUAAAAGAAGAAAGAGUACGUUAAAGUUUUUCAUGCACAUGUGUACAGCUAUUUUGAUGUUUGAUUCUGUGGGCAAAACCGAACAUAGAUUACUAAUACAUAUGCCAAAUCACCAGGUUACAGAGGCUCGAUUGUUCCAAGUCGAUGUUGUUGGCGCUAAAACAUAAAAGACUACUAGUGCCAAGCUGGAUUUACUAGGAGGUAUUUUCUGAUGGUAGUUCCAUAUUGCGUGAAUGAUUCUUCACCAGUUUGAAUGGAAAUUUUGGAGUAUUAAUAGCAUACUUGACUAUAUUUUAUUAUCUUGCACAUGUUUCUCUCUUUUUUCACAUAAUUUGUACAAGCGAACACUUUUCUUGCAUGUGAAAAUGGUCGUACUGCUUAUGUGAGAUAAGACUCUUUGCGGCUAGAUUAGGUAAAACAAUUCAUCAACUACUGUAUGCCUGCCUUACAAUCCCCAACCCCUAUAAAACACUUUGUUUCUAGUAACAUGGUGAAACUUAAUAAUGAAAUUAGCUGAGUUAGUUUACUGAGCUAAAAUGACUAUUAUUAGCUACAAAUGUGAUACUGGAUAAAUCCGAACAAGAACCCUGCUUUUACUUCAAUCCAAAGGAUCAACCCCGAAUAUAAAGCUAAAGUUGAUGUUGUUAAACUUGGUAAUGAAUUCAUGGUAUUGUGAGCUGAUGCUAUAUUAGCAGAAUCUUAUUAGUCUCUACAACUACAAAAAAGGUCAAAAUUAUUAGUCACGCAGCAAGAUUAAUUAUCACAUUUCUUCAACUUUCUAUGUUGCUCCUCCUUUCAAUUUUUCUGCCCUAUUAACCUAUUUAAUUUCUUUGUUGUAGAUUGCAAUAUUCGAUGACGCAUGGCUCAGAUGUUGGUUGCAAGGUCAAGAAUAGGGGUGCUACUAGAUAGUUUCACAUUAUGCCUUAGAAUGCCAUUUCCAGUGCCAAUGUUUCAAUCAUUAUGUUUCGGAUAUUUUUGGUGUCAAUAUUUCGAUCAUUAUGUUUCAGAAUGGCUGACACGUUGGCUGCAAGGUCAAGAAUGAGAUUACUACUAGUUUCACAUCUUGUAAUUUUUGUAUGGUGUACUUUGUAAUGCAACCAAGUUGAUUUAAUAUAUGAGAAAUUUCCGUUUAUUAUACUGUGUCCCUUGUGUAAUACCGAUAUUGUCUAAUUCUAGACGCUGAUGUAUAAAUAUCAUGUAUUUUUUAUGGAAUGCACUAGUAUUGUAGUACUCAUUUAUAAUCAUGUUCUGUUGGGUAGCCACCAACGCAUGUGAACCGUUGUUGGGCUCUAACUCUAUACGUUGCUAUCUUACAACACUUAUUCAGGCCGUUUACCAACGGAUGC